Molecule: ribosomal RNA, 1079 nt
Filed under: Leuconostoc falkenbergense
Lineage: Bacteria; Bacillati; Bacillota; Bacilli; Lactobacillales; Lactobacillaceae
Description: bacterial SSU rRNA
Rfam family: Bacterial small subunit ribosomal RNA
Source: RNAcentral
CAAACUCCUACGGGAGGCUGCAGUAGGGAAUCUUCCACAAUGGGCGAAAGCCUGAUGGAGCAACGCCGCGUGUGUGAUGAAGGCUUUCGGGUCGUAAAGCACUGUUGUAUGGGAAGAACAGCUAGAAUAGGGAAUGAUUUUAGUUUGACGGUACCAUACCAGAAAGGGACGGCUAAAUACGUGCCAGCAGCCGCGGUAAUACGUAUGUCCCGAGCGUUAUCCGGAUUUAUUGGGCGUAAAGCGAGCGCAGACGGUUGAUUAAGUCUGAUGUGAAAGCCCGGAGCUCAACUCCGGAAUGGCAUUGGAAACUGGUUAACUUGAGUGCAGUAGAGGUAAGUGGAACUCCAUGUGUAGCGGUGGAAUGCGUAGAUAUAUGGAAGAACACCAGUGGCGAAGGCGGCUUACUGGACUGUAACUGACGUUGAGGCUCGAAAGUGUGGGUAGCAAACAGGAUUAGAUACCCUGGUAGUCCACACCGUAAACGAUGAACACUAGGUGUUAGGAGGUUUCCGCCUCUUAGUGCCGAAGCUAACGCAUUAAGUGUUCCGCCUGGGGAGUACGACCGCAAGGUUGAAACUCAAAGGAAUUGACGGGGACCCGCACAAGCGGUGGAGCAUGUGGUUUAAUUCGAAGCAACGCGAAGAACCUUACCAGGUCUUGACAUCCUUUGAAGCUUUUAGAGAUAGAAGUGUUCUCUUCGGAGACAAAGUGACAGGUGGUGCAUGGUCGUCGUCAGCUCGUGUCGUGAGAUGUUGGGUUAAGUCCCGCAACGAGCGCAACCCUUAUUGUUAGUUGCCAGCAUUCAGAUGGGCACUCUAGCGAGACUGCCGGUGACAAACCGGAGGAAGGCGGGGACGACGUCAGAUCAUCAUGCCCCUUAUGACCUGGGCUACACACGUGCUACAAUGGCGUAUACAACGAGUUGCCAACCCGCGAGGGUGAGCUAAUCUCUUAAAGUACGUCUCAGUUCGGAUUGUAGUCUGCAACUCGACUACAUGAAGUCGGAAUCGCUAGUAAUCGCGGAUCAGCACGCCGCGGUGAAUACGUUCCCGGGCCUUGUACACACCGCCCGUCACACC